AUUUAAGUAGUUUAACAAAAAUUUUGAUUUGUGGUGUCAAAGAUGUAUUUAUAUACUUUAAAUU
RNAcentral lists this transfer RNA (64 nucleotides) under Anachauliodes laboissierei. Its description in RNAcentral is "tRNA-His". Lineage: Eukaryota; Metazoa; Arthropoda; Insecta; Megaloptera; Corydalidae. The record is from RNAcentral.